AACGUAGGUGGCAAGCGUUGUCCGGAUUUACUGGGCGUAAAGAGCGCGCAGGCGGUCGUUCAAGUCGCGUGUGAAAGCCCCCGGCUCAACUGGGGAGGGUCACGCGAUACUGAUCGACUCGAAGGCAGGAGAGGGUAGUGGAAUUCCCGGUGUAGUGGUGAAAUGCGUAGAUAUCGGGAGGAACACCAGUGGCGAAGGCGACUACCUGGCCUGUUCUUGACGCUGAGGCGCGAAAGCUAGGGGAGCAAACGGG
Molecule: ribosomal RNA, 253 nt
Filed under: uncultured bacterium
Lineage: Bacteria
Description: partial 16S ribosomal RNA
Rfam family: Bacterial small subunit ribosomal RNA
Source: RNAcentral